UCAAGCAAGUAUAGGUUUGUGGCGGAUGCCUAGGAGCUGUCCGGCGAAGAAGGCCGCGGUAAGCUGCGAAAAGCUGCGGGGAGGAGCACACAUCCUUUGAUCCGCAGAUAGCCGAAUGGGGUAACCCGUAUGUCGAAAGGCAUACACCGCGCGCGGGAAGAAGAUACUGCGGCGGAGCGAUACUGCGUGAAGUGAACCAUCUAAGUAACGCGGGAAGAGAAAUCAAAAGAGAUUGCGCAAGUAGCGGCGAGCGAACGCGCAGGAGCCUAAACCCUUUAGAGGGUGUUGCAGGGCCGCACGGGGAUGACCCGUGGAGUUAGGAAAAAACCGAUAUGUAGCGGAAGCGUCUGGAAAGGCGCGCGAGACAGCGUGAAAGCCGCGUAGGCGAAAGAUAUCGGACUCCAUGGUGCGGUACCUAAGUAGAGCGGGGCACGAGAAACCCUGUUUGAAUCCGGGUCGACCACGAUCCAAGGCUAAAUACGAGACAGCUACCGACAGCGAAGAGUACCGUGAGGGAAAGGCGAAAAGAACCCCGGUGAGGGGAGUGAAAGAGAACCUGAAACCACAGACCGACAAGAUGUCACGGCGCGCGAGCGUUGUGGCGUGUCUUUUGUAGAAUAAACCUGCGAGUUGCGAUGCGCGGCGAGGCUAAGGGUUGGGAGAUCCGGAGCCGGAGCGAAAGCGAGUGUGAGAAGUGCGAGAAGUCGCGUGUCGCAGACCCGAAGCCAAGGUGAUCUAAUUAUGGGCAGGCUGAAGGCAGGGUGAAACCUGUUGGAGGGCCGAACAGUAAUCUGUUAAAAAAGGUAGUGAUGACCUGUGAUUAGGAGUGAAAGGCUAAACAAACCUGGAAAUAGCUGGCUCUCCCCGAAAUGCCUUUAGGGACAGCCUCAUGCAAAGCGGAAGGAGGUAAAGCACCGGAUGGGAUAGGGGGCGUCACAGUCUACCGACACCAAUCGAACUCAGAAUGCCAUCCGCCAACGCAUGGGAGUGAGACUGUGUGCUCCAAGGUUCAUAGUCGAGAGGGAAACAGCCCGGACCGCCGGCAAAGGUCCCAAAAUAACGCUCAGUGUGAAAUGAGGUGCGCUUGCACAGACAGCCAGGAGGUUGGCUCAGAAGCAGCCAUUCCUUAAAAGAGUGCGUAACAGCUCACUGGUCGAGCAGGCGUGCGCAGACAAUGUAACGGGGCUAAGCGUUAUACCGAAGCCGCGGGUCCGCAUUGUAAGAUGCGGGCGGUAGGGGAGCAUUGCGCUAACCGAAGAAGGCGUACCUGUGAGGGGCGCUGGAGGAAGCGGAAGAGAGAAUGCAGGCACAAGUAACGAAAAGACGGGUGAGAUUCCCGUCCGCCGAAAGCCUGAGGAUUCCCGGGUAAAGGCAAUCUGCCCGGGGUAAGUCGGCCCCUAAGGCGAGGACGAAAGUCGUAGUCGAUGGGAAAUCGGUUCACAAUCCGAUACCCGGCUCAGUUUUGAAGGCAGGACGCAUGAGGUGAAAUCCGGCAGAAGAACGGUAGUUUCUGUCCAAGCGGUAAGGUGUUGAGAGGGCGGUUAAAAGAGCCCUUGAGCUGAGCCGUUACGGGGAGCGGAGCGCAGGCGAAGCGAAGCGGACGUAAUCAGGGUGCCGGGAAAUACUGUCUAAAGUUAGGCUGAGUCGGACCGUACCGGAAACGGACACACGCAGGCAGGAUGAGUAAUCUAAGGCGCACGAGCGACCCCGCGUUAAGGAACUCGGCAAAAAGCACACGUAACUUCGGAAGAAGUGUGGCUCACGCUGAUAAGGAUGUGAGCGGCAGAAAGCAGGCCCAGGCGACUGUUUACCAAAAACACAGCCAUCUGCGAACCGGCAACGGGACGUAUAGGUGGUGACACCUGCCCGGUACCGGAAGGUUAAGGGGAGGGGUUAGCAGCAAUGCGAAGCUCCGAACCGAAGCCCCGGCAAACGGCGGCCGUAACUAUAACGGUCCUAAGGUAGCGAAAUUCCUUGUCGGGUAA
RNAcentral lists this ribosomal RNA (1985 nucleotides) under human oral metagenome. RNAcentral's name for it is "bacterial LSU rRNA". It matches the Rfam family "Bacterial large subunit ribosomal RNA", at positions 3 to 1979 of the family's 2925-position model. The record is from RNAcentral.